UUGACUCCAAUCCAGGAAGGAUACCCGGCUGACCUAAGCAUAAUCAUUAGCCGAAGGA
RNAcentral lists this ribosomal RNA (58 nucleotides) under Agroathelia rolfsii. RNAcentral's name for it is "Athelia rolfsii partial large subunit ribosomal RNA". The record is from RNAcentral. Lineage: Eukaryota; Fungi; Basidiomycota; Agaricomycetes; Amylocorticiales; Amylocorticiaceae.